RNAcentral lists this transfer RNA (77 nucleotides) under Caudoviricetes sp. RNAcentral's name for it is "tRNA-Met". It matches the Rfam family "tRNA". Rfam says of the family: Transfer RNA (tRNA) molecules are approximately 80 nucleotides in length. Their secondary structure includes four short double-helical elements and three loops (D, anti-codon, and T loops). The record is from RNAcentral. Lineage: Duplodnaviria; Heunggongvirae; Uroviricota; Caudoviricetes.
GGGCCAUUAGCUCAAAUGGUUAGAGCUACCGGCUCAUAACCGGUUGGUUGCGAGUUCGAUUCUUGCAUGGCCCACCA